RNAcentral lists this ribosomal RNA (253 nucleotides) under uncultured bacterium. Its description in RNAcentral is "partial 16S ribosomal RNA". It matches the Rfam family "Bacterial small subunit ribosomal RNA", at positions 524 to 776 of the family's 1533-position model. The record is from RNAcentral.
UACAGAGGGGGCAAGCGUUAUUCGGAAUUAUUGGGCGUAAAGGGCGCGUAGGCGGCCGGACAAGUGGAAGGUGAAAUCCCCGAGCUCAACUCGGGAACUGCCCUCCAAACUGUUUGGCUUGAGUCCGGGAGAGGUGAGUGGAAUUCCCAGUGUAGCGGUGAAAUGCGUAGAUAUUGGGAGGAACACCAGUGGCGAAGGCGGCUCACUGGACCGGAACUGACGCUGAGGCGCGAAAGCGUGGGGAGCAAUCAGG